UAACAUGUCAGUGACAAUUAGUUAUAUAGUCUAGCCUGCCCACUGAUUUAUUUAAAGGGCCGCGGUAAUUUGACCGUGCGAACGUAGCAUAGUGUGUAGUCUUUUAAUUCGAGGCUUGAAUGAAUGGUUGGACGAGGGAUAAACUGUCUCCUUAGCGGCGUUUGAAUAUAACUAAUGAGUGAAUAGGCUCAAAUUGUUUAGGGGGACGAUAAGACCCUAUAAAACUUAAUAUAAUUUAGGCUUAACAUGCGAUCAGGGUGAAAAGUAGUAUUGUCUGGUUUAUAUUUCGUUGGGGAGAUGAAGAUAUAAUGAGUAACUGUCUAUAAAAUUAUAAUGCAUUGACUAGAAUUUGAUCCUUCCUUGGGGAUUAGCAGAAUAAGUUACUUUAGGGAUAACAGCGUGAUUUUCUAUGACUGUUGUUAUCGACAAGAGUAGUUGCGACCUCGAUGUUGAAUUAAAAUUUCAGCUAGGUGUAGCCGUUUAGCUGGUGCGUG
This 494-nucleotide ribosomal RNA is filed under the name Macrobrachium idella. RNAcentral's name for it is "partial 16S ribosomal RNA". It matches the Rfam family "Bacterial large subunit ribosomal RNA", at positions 1824 to 2575 of the family's 2925-position model. Lineage: Eukaryota; Metazoa; Arthropoda; Malacostraca; Decapoda; Palaemonidae. The record is from RNAcentral.